Molecule: ribosomal RNA, 581 nt
Filed under: uncultured Rhizophagus
Lineage: Eukaryota; Fungi; Glomeromycota; Glomeromycetes; Glomerales; Glomeraceae
Description: LSU rRNA
Rfam family: Eukaryotic large subunit ribosomal RNA
Source: RNAcentral
CAUGGAGGGUGAGAAUCCCGUCCGGUUGAUCAUUUGCGUUUUACGAUACGCUUUCUAAGAGUCAAGUUGUUUGGGAUUGCAGCUUAAAAUGGGAGGUAAAUUUCUCCUAAGGCUAAAUAACGGCGAGAGACCGAUAGCGAACAAGUACCGUGAGGGAAAGAUGAAAAGAACUUUGAAAAGAGAGUUAAACAGUACGUGAAAUUGUUGAAAGGGAAACGAUUGAAGCCAGUCGUACCUUCGGGUAAUCAGCCUUUCGGGUGCGAUUCUGUGGAGUGUGAGGAGCUUAACACCUUCAUGCUUUGCAUAUUCGUACUCUUGGGUGUACUUGCCCGUGUGGUUGGUUAACAUCAAUUUUGGUGGUCAUAAAAUGACGGGAGGAAUGUAGCUUCGAUCUCGUAUUGAAGUGUUAUAGCCUUCGGUAGAUGUGAUGAUCGAGAUUGAGGAUUGCAACGGAUACCCUUCGGGGCUACCUGUCUGAUCUCUGAUCGUUGCUCUGGUACCGAAAGCUUGCUUACGGUUAUCAAAGUCGAUGGUCAAAAGGUUAGAACGGGUUAAAUUCGUUAAGGAUGUUGACGUAAUGG